RNAcentral lists this ribosomal RNA (484 nucleotides) under uncultured bacterium. RNAcentral's name for it is "partial 16S ribosomal RNA". It matches the Rfam family "Bacterial small subunit ribosomal RNA", at positions 28 to 507 of the family's 1533-position model. The record is from RNAcentral.
AUUGAACGCUGGCGGCAGGCCUAACACAUGCAAGUCGAGCGGUAGAAGGGCGUUUGCUCUUGACUUCCGCGGAAGACGGGAGUAUCAUGCCUAGGACCCUGCCUGGUCGCGGGGGUUAGCGUCCGGAACUGGGCGCUAUUCCCGCAUACGCCCUGCGGGAGAAAGUGUGGGGUCUUCGGAUCUCACGCCCUCAGAUGAGCCUAGGUCGGAUGAGCUAGUUGGUGGGGUAACGGCCUACCAAGGCGACGACGCGUAACUGGACUGAGAGGAUGAUCAGUCACACGGGAACGGAGACGCGGUCCAGACGCCGACGGGAGGUAGCGGUGGGGAAUAUUGGACAAUGGGCGGAAGCCUGAUCCAGCCAAGCCGCGGGUGUGAAGAAGGGCUUCGGAGUGUAAAGCACGUUGGGUUGGGAGGAAGGGCAGUAAGUUAAUACCGUGCUGUUUGGACGGUACCAACAGAAGAAGCACCGGCUAACUUCGUG